GUGCAGGAAAAGUUACAUCACAGCUGCUCAGUGCUGGAGAUGUCGUUCCCCCUGCAAAAAGGAACAUGUUUCAUACUAUCCCUGGCAGUCCAAUACCCUGCUGGCUGACAGGGACGCUUGGUCACAUACAA
Small nucleolar RNA from Chiloscyllium plagiosum (whitespotted bambooshark), 131 nucleotides. RefSeq annotates it as small nucleolar RNA SNORA63. Lineage: Eukaryota; Metazoa; Chordata; Chondrichthyes; Orectolobiformes; Hemiscylliidae. The record is from RefSeq and is a predicted model, not a curated record.